RNAcentral lists this non-coding RNA (21 nucleotides) under Arabidopsis thaliana (thale cress). Lineage: Eukaryota; Viridiplantae; Streptophyta; Magnoliopsida; Brassicales; Brassicaceae. The record is from RNAcentral.
UGCCUCUCAACUACUGAGUGA